GCCCUUCGGGGUACACGAGCGGCGAACGGGUGAGUAACACGUGGGUGAUCUGCCUCGUACUCUGGGAUAAGCCUGGGAAACUGGGUCUAAUACCGGAUAUGACCACGAAUCGCAUGGUUUGUGGUGGAAAGAUUUAUCGGUGCGAGAUGGGCCCGCGGCCUAUCAGCUUGUUGGUGGGGUAAUGGCCUACCAAGGCGACGACGGGUAGCCGGCCUGAGAGGGCGACCGGCCACACUGGGACUGAGACACGGCCCAGACUCCUACGGGAGGCAGCAGUGGGGAAUAUUGCACAAUGGGCGGAAGCCUGAUGCAGCGACGCCGCGUGAGGGAUGACGGCCUUCGGGUUGUAAACCUCUUUCGACAGGGACGAAGCGCAAGUGACGGUACCUGUAGAAGAAGCACCGGCCAACUACGUGCCAGCAGCCGCGGUAAUACGUAGGGUGCGAGCGUUGUCCGGAAUUACUGGGCGUAAAGAGCUUGUAGGCGGUUCGUCGCGUCGAUCGUGAAAACUUGCAGCUCAACUGCGAGCUUGCGGUCGAUACGGGCGGACUAGAGUACUGCAGGGGAGACUGGAAUUCCUGGUGUAGCGGUGAAAUGCGCAGAUAUCAGGAGGAACACCGGUGGCGAAGGCGGGUCUCUGGGCAGUAACUGACGCUGAGAAGCGAAAGCGUGGGUAGCGAACAGGAUUAGAUACCCUGGUAGUCCACGCCGUAAACGGUGGGCGCUAGGUGUGGGUUUCCUUCCACGGGAUCCGUGCCGUAGCUAACGCAUUAAGCGCCCCGCCUGGGGAGUACGGCCGCAAGGCUAAAACUCAAAGGAAUUGACGGGGGCCCGCACAAGCGGCGGAGCAUGUGGAUUAAUUCGAUGCAACGCGAAGAACCUUACCUGGGUUUGACAUACACCAGAAAGCUGCAGAGAUGUAGCCCCCCUUGUGGUUGGUGUACAGGUGGUGCAUGGCUGUCGUCAGCUCGUGUCGUGAGAUGUUGGGUUAAGUCCCGCAACGAGCGCAACCCUUGUCCUGUGUUGCCAGCGCGUUAUGGCGGGGACUCGCAGGAGACUGCCGGGGUCAACUCGGAGGAAGGUGGGGACGACGUCAAGUCAUCAUGCCCCUUAUGUCCAGGGCUUCACACAUGCUACAAUGGCCGGUACAGAGGGCUGCGAUACCGUGAGGUGGAGCGAAUCCCUUAAAGCCGGUCUCAGUUCGGAUCGGGGUCUGCAACUCGACCCCGUGAAGUUGGAGUCGCUAGUAAUCGCAGAUCAGCAACGCUGCGGUGAAUACGUUCCCGGGCCUUGUACACACCGCCCGUCACGUCAUGAAAGUCGGUAACACCCGAAGCCGGUGGC
Molecule: ribosomal RNA, 1344 nt
Filed under: Nocardia sp. FXJ1.529
Lineage: Bacteria; Bacillati; Actinomycetota; Actinomycetes; Mycobacteriales; Nocardiaceae
Description: bacterial SSU rRNA
Rfam family: Bacterial small subunit ribosomal RNA
Source: RNAcentral